AAUGAACGUUGGCGGCGUGGAUUAGGCAUGCAAGUCGAACGGGCCUGGUUUUCGGAUCAGGUCAGUGGCGUAAGGGUGAGUAAGGCGACGGCAACCAACCCCAUGGUUGGGCAUAGCCGCGGGAAACUGCGGGUAAUUCCCAGCGAUGUUCGUGCCGGGCAUCCGGUGCGAACCAAAGUUUCGGCGCCGUGGGACGGGCCGUCGUGGUAUUAGGUCGUUGGCGGGGUAAUGGCCCACCAAGCCUCUGAUGCCUACCGGGCGUGCGAGCGU
Molecule: ribosomal RNA, 270 nt
Filed under: uncultured bacterium
Lineage: Bacteria
Description: partial 16S ribosomal RNA
Rfam family: Bacterial small subunit ribosomal RNA
Source: RNAcentral